This 343-nucleotide ribosomal RNA is filed under the name uncultured Latescibacterota bacterium. RNAcentral describes it as "bacterial SSU rRNA". It matches the Rfam family "Bacterial small subunit ribosomal RNA", at positions 29 to 351 of the family's 1533-position model. Lineage: Bacteria; Pseudomonadati; Candidatus Latescibacterota. The record is from RNAcentral.
AACGAACACUGGCGGCGUGGUUUAGGCAUGCAAGUCGAACGUGAAAGUUUCCUUCGGGAAAUGAGUAAAGUGGCGAACGGGUGAGUAACGCGUGGGAAACCUUCCCUUCGUUGGGGGAUAACAGUUCUAACGAGCUGCUAAUACCGCAUACGACCUUUGGAUCGCAUGGUCUGGAGGUGAAAGGGGGCGCCCUCUUCGGAGAGCUCCCGACGAUGGAUGGUCCCGCGUCCCAUUAGCUAGUUGGCGGGGUAAUGGCCCACCAAGGCGACGAUGGGUAGCCGGCCUGAGAGGGUGUCCGGCCACACUGGGACUGAGAUACGGCCCAGACUCCUACGGGAGGCAG